GCCGAGGUGGUGAAAUUGGUAGACACACAAGUUUCAGGUAUUUGUGGGGGCAACUCCGUAGAGGUUCAAAUCCUCUCCUCGGUA
Molecule: transfer RNA, 84 nt
Filed under: Coxiella-like endosymbiont
Lineage: Bacteria; Pseudomonadati; Pseudomonadota; Gammaproteobacteria; Legionellales; Coxiellaceae
Rfam family: tRNA
About the family: Transfer RNA (tRNA) molecules are approximately 80 nucleotides in length. Their secondary structure includes four short double-helical elements and three loops (D, anti-codon, and T loops).
Source: Rfam by way of RNAcentral